UUUGUCGAACAUGAUCUGACUCGUAUAACUUCGGGAAUUGGCCCGAAAGUAUCUACCCGGAAACCGUAAAUUACCGGACUACGAGCCAACGGAUAGAGGAA
RNAcentral lists this non-coding RNA (101 nucleotides) under Paenibacillus beijingensis. Its description in RNAcentral is "Guanine sequence". It matches the Rfam family "Purine riboswitch aptamer". Rfam says of the family: Riboswitches are metabolite binding domains within certain messenger RNAs that serve as precision sensors for their corresponding targets. Allosteric rearrangement of mRNA structure is mediated by ligand binding, and this results in modulation of gene expression. A class of riboswitches that selectively recognises guanine and becomes saturated at concentrations as low as 5 nM. The record is from Rfam by way of RNAcentral. Lineage: Bacteria; Bacillati; Bacillota; Bacilli; Caryophanales; Paenibacillaceae.